RNAcentral lists this non-coding RNA (30 nucleotides) under Rattus norvegicus (Norway rat). The record is from RNAcentral. Lineage: Eukaryota; Metazoa; Chordata; Mammalia; Rodentia; Muridae.
UGUGGCUGUAAUAGAAAUGAUUCUUGCUUC